This 253-nucleotide ribosomal RNA is filed under the name uncultured bacterium. RNAcentral's name for it is "partial 16S ribosomal RNA". It matches the Rfam family "Bacterial small subunit ribosomal RNA", at positions 524 to 776 of the family's 1533-position model. The record is from RNAcentral.
UACGGAGGGAGCUAGCGUUGUUCGGAAUUACUGGGCGUAAAGCGCACGUAGGCGGCUUUGUAAGUUAGAGGUGAAAGCCCGGGGCUCAACUCCGGAACUGCCUUUAAGACUGCAUCGCUUGAAUCCAGGAGAGGUGAGUGGAAUUCCGAGUGUAGAGGUGAAAUUCGUAGAUAUUCGGAAGAACACCAGUGGCGAAGGCGGCUCACUGGACUGGUAUUGACGCUGAGGCGCGAAAGCUAGGGGAGCGAACGGG